GAUGAACGCUGGCGGCGUGCCUAAUACAUGCAAGUCGAGCGAACAGACGAGGAGCUUGCUCCUCUAACGUUAGCGGCGGACGGGUGAGUAACACGUGGAUAACCUACCUAUAAGACUGGGAUAACUUCGGGAAACCGGAGCUAAUACCGGAUAAUAUAUUGAACCGCAUGGUUCAAUAGUGAAAGACGGUUUUGCUGUCACUUAUAGAUGGAUCCGCGCAGCAUUAGCUAGUUGGUAAGGUAACAGCUUACCAAGGCAACGAUGCGUAGCCGACCUGAGAGGGGGAUCGGCCACACGGGAACUGGAACACGGUCCAGACUCCUACGGGAGGCAGCAGUAGGGAAUCUUCCGCAAGGGGCGAAAGCCUGACGGAGCAACGCCGCGUGAGUGAUGAAGGUCUUCGGAUCGUAAAACUCUGUUAUUAGGGAAGAACAAAUGUGUAAGUAACUAUGCACGUCUUGACGGUACCAAAUCAGAAAGCCACGGCGAACUACGU
This 496-nucleotide ribosomal RNA is filed under the name uncultured bacterium. RNAcentral's name for it is "partial 16S ribosomal RNA". It matches the Rfam family "Bacterial small subunit ribosomal RNA", at positions 28 to 506 of the family's 1533-position model. The record is from RNAcentral.